CAGCAGCCGCGGGAAUACAGAGGGUGCGAGCGUUAAUCGGAUUUACUGGGCGUAAAGCGUGCGUAGGCGGCUUCUUAAGUCGGAUGUGAAAUCCCUGAGCUUAACUUAGGAAUUGCAUUCGAUACUGGGAAGCUAGAGUAUGGGAGAGGAUGGUAGAAUUCCAGGUGUAGCGGUGAAAUGCGUAUAGAUCUGGAGGAAUACCGAUGGCGAAGGCAGCCAUCUGGCCUAAUACUGACGCUGAGGUACGAAAGCAUGGGGAGCAAACAGGAUUAGAUACCCCCGUAGUCCCUGUCUCUUAUAC
RNAcentral lists this ribosomal RNA (301 nucleotides) under uncultured bacterium. RNAcentral describes it as "partial 16S ribosomal RNA". It matches the Rfam family "Bacterial small subunit ribosomal RNA", at positions 509 to 807 of the family's 1533-position model. The record is from RNAcentral.